AAUCUUUGUUUCGCGUUGACAAGAUUGAAAUUAAAAGGAUUUUGAAAGAUAGUGCUUUUGUGUGUCAUUUGCAAAAGUGACGCUAAUUGCUUGGAACUGCUGGAAUGUCUUCGGUCAUUUAUCACCAAGGGUCGCUGGAAACUAAGGAAGCUCACAAUAACAACCACUUUUCAACCGCCCAGCAUAACAUCAAUACAAUGAGCAGGUUGUAAAGUAUACCCAGGACUAAGCGUCCCAAGCCAGAAGAGACUAUCCUCCCUGGAAAGUGUCUAUAAAACUUCACCAGUUGUCAUCUUCAAUUCACGCAACUAACGCGUAUUGCAGCACAAGUUUCAAUGCAGUGGGACGUUCGGGACAAUUCAAACGGACAUACAUAAUGCGUGGAGAACAGUUAUACUGGCUGUGGAAGGAAACUACCGAAGUUUCUGCCAUCUUGCCCUAGAGUGCAGUCAUACCGGAAGGAUAAAUCGUCCUUAGGGAACAGCAAGGAUUUGAUUUGCUUACGAUGAGACUCUGUGCAGUUUGAACGAUCUUGGAAGACAUGUCCUGCGAAAAGGCAUCACGACGGUUGAGGUUCUUGCUCAACAAGACCAAGAAGCUGGGUUUGAGCACGGACGAAGUAGUCGAGCUACCAGCUGUUAAAAGACUCCUCUCUGCUCGAGUCACAUCUUCCUCCACCGCUUGGACGAUUUUAGCCAUGAUCGCUUUGAUCCUUGGUGGCGGUGUUGUGCUCGUUUUCUUUUGUGCACCCUGUGUCGCCAAGAGCAGGACGUGAGGAUCAUUUUAUGGAAGCCCAUCAGAUCGAAAUCGAUCCCUUUGGCUCUCUAAUAAACCUGGAAAGUAUCUUAAGAUUCAAUAUAUAUUAUUUAAAUAAGAAAUCGAUUGUAAUUAAUGCGUAAAAUAAGAAUUUACAGUGGUAAUGUAAAAAAAUUCCAUAAAAUCAGUAUGAAGGUAGGUCUUUCAUACUUUACUAUAGUUACUUGGACGAAUAAACAAGAAUAAUUUAAUGUUAUCAAGAAAUUGUAUUUUCUGAUGUAACAAAGAAUAAAAUUGAUGGAUUUCCUUAGUUGCAAAAUGAUAUGUCACAAUAUAAAACUAGUAGAUAUUGUCUAGUUUCCCAGAAUGUGGAAUACAAUGAAGAAAGUAAUUGAAUUAAUUUAUUCGCGAGAAUACAUGAGCUCCUCAUUUGCUAAAUCGAUUAAUUUUACAAAACAAAAGAAAGAGAAAUUGAUAAAAUAGAAAGAAUUAAGCAUCAAGCAAAUGCUUUGACACUAAAAAUUUUAAAAAUUCAGCAAGUAGAGUAAAUCAAUUUGAUCUAUAAACAGUUCAUAUGGAAUUUGAUUGUUACACGAUUAGAAUAUUGCUCAAUUGUAUGGGAUGAUCUUUAAACACUGUGUGGAAACCAUG
Molecule: long non-coding RNA, 1407 nt
Organism: Osmia lignaria (orchard mason bee)
Lineage: Eukaryota; Metazoa; Arthropoda; Insecta; Hymenoptera; Megachilidae
Source: RefSeq, a predicted model, not a curated record